This 261-nucleotide long non-coding RNA is filed under the name Homo sapiens (human). RNAcentral's name for it is "non-protein coding lnc-VEGFC-1:1". Lineage: Eukaryota; Metazoa; Chordata; Mammalia; Primates; Hominidae. The record is from RNAcentral.
CACCGAUGAUAUUUCACUGAACACGCUCGUUCUUAGAUUAGAAAAUUCCUGGAGUCGUCGCAUAUCCAGCAUAAGGAGGUGAAACUAUCCAGAGGAGAAAACAAACUUACAAAAUACUUUAAAUUUAACCAAGUAGCAUCUUAGCCAUGAGGAAUUUACACAUUGUGGUGCUGAGAGAGAACACCUGCUCCUGGAUAUCAGCAUCUGUUCCAUAUUGCCCUGUGUGAAUUUCUGCACUUUCUGGUCCUUGGAUGAGGUCAG